GAUGAACGCUGGCGGCGUGCCUAACACAUGCAAGUCGAGCGGAGAUUUAGAAGCUUGCUUUUAAAUCUUAGCGGCGGACGGGUGAGUAACGCGUGGGCAACCUGCCUCAAACAGGGGGAUAACACAGGGAAACUUGUGCUAAUACCGCAUAAGAUCAUAGUGUGACAUCCCAUAGUGAUCAAAGGAGAAAUCCGGUUUGAGAUGGGCCCGGGUCCGAUUAGCUAGUUGGUGGGGUACAGGCCGACCAAGGCGACGAUCGGUAGCCGAACUGAGAGGUUGAUCGGCCACAUUGGGACUGGGACACGGCCCAGACUCCUACGGGAGGCAGCAGUGGGGAAUAUUGCGCAAUGGGGGAAACCCUGACGCAGCAACGCCGCGUGAAGGAUGAAGGUUUUCGGAUUGUAAACUUCUUUAGUCGGGGACGAACAAAAUGACGGUACCCGAAGAAUAAGCCGCGGCUAACUACGUGCCAGCAGCCGCGGUAA
RNAcentral lists this ribosomal RNA (485 nucleotides) under uncultured bacterium. RNAcentral's name for it is "partial 16S ribosomal RNA". It matches the Rfam family "Bacterial small subunit ribosomal RNA", at positions 28 to 523 of the family's 1533-position model. The record is from RNAcentral.